RNAcentral lists this ribosomal RNA (488 nucleotides) under uncultured Rubrobacter sp. Its description in RNAcentral is "bacterial SSU rRNA". It matches the Rfam family "Bacterial small subunit ribosomal RNA", at positions 562 to 1050 of the family's 1533-position model. The record is from RNAcentral. Lineage: Bacteria; Bacillati; Actinomycetota; Rubrobacteria; Rubrobacterales; Rubrobacteraceae.
AAAGCGUACGUAGGCGGCUUGGUAAGUCUGCUGUGAAACCUUGGGGCUCAACCCCAAGCGUGCAGUGGAUACUGUCAAGCUAGAGGAUGGUAGAGGCCAGUGGAAUUCCCAGUGUAGCGGUGAAAUGCGCAGAUAUUGGGAGGAACACCAGUAGCGAAGGCGGCUGGCUGGGCCAUUCCUGACGCUGAGACGCGAAAGCUAGGGGAGCGAACAGGAUUAGAUACCCUGGUAGUCCUAGCCGUAAACGAUGAACACUAGGUGUGGGGGGAGUCGAAUCCCUCCGUGCCGAAGCCAACGCGUUAAGUGUUCCGCCUGGGGAGUACGGCCGCAAGGCUAAAACUCAAAAGAAUUGACGGGGGCCCGCACAAGCAGCGGAGCAUGUUCUUUAAUUCGAUGCAACGCGAAGAACCUUACCUGGACUUGACAUGGCACUGCAAGCGCACGGAAACGUGUGACCUUCGAGGGUGUGCCACAGGUGCUGCAUGGCU